RNAcentral lists this ribosomal RNA (718 nucleotides) under uncultured bacterium. RNAcentral describes it as "bacterial SSU rRNA". It matches the Rfam family "Bacterial small subunit ribosomal RNA", at positions 62 to 771 of the family's 1533-position model. The record is from RNAcentral.
UCGAGGGGCAUCAGGAAGAAGCUUGCUUUCUUUGCUGGCGACCGGCGCACGGGUGAGUAACACGUAUCCAACCUGCCCUUUACUCGGGGAUAGCCUUUCGAAAGAAAGAUUAAUACCCGAUGGCAUAAUGAUUCCGCAUGGUUUCAUUAUUAAAGGAUUCCGGUAAAGGAUGGGGAUGCGUUCCAUUAGGUUGUUGGUGAGGUAACGGCUCACCAAGCCUUCGAUGGAUAGGGGUUCUGAGAGGAAGGUCCCCCACAUUGGAACUGAGACACGGUCCAAACUCCUACGGGAGGCAGCAGUGAGGAAUAUUGGUCAAUGGGCGCUAGCCUGAACCAGCCAAGUAGCGUGAAGGAUGAAGGCUCUAUGGGUCGUAAACUUCUUUUAUAUAAGAAUAAAGUGCAGUAUGUAUACUGUUUUGUAUGUAUUAUAUGAAUAAGGAUCGGCUAACUCCGUGCCAGCAGCCGCGGUAAUACGGAGGAUCCGAGCGUUAUCCGGAUUUAUUGGGUUUAAAGGGAGCGUAGGUGGACUGGUAAGUCAGUUGUGAAAGUUUGCGGCUCAACCGUAAAAUUGCAGUUGAUACUGUCAGUCUUGAGUACAGUAGAGGUGGGCGGAAUUCGUGGUGUAGCGGUGAAAUGCUUAGAUAUCACGAAGAACUCCGAUUGCGAAGGCAGCUCACUGGACUGCAACUGACACUGAUGCUCGAAAGUGUGGGUAUCAA